This 75-nucleotide transfer RNA is filed under the name Deltaproteobacteria bacterium. Its description in RNAcentral is "tRNA-Val". It matches the Rfam family "tRNA". Rfam says of the family: Transfer RNA (tRNA) molecules are approximately 80 nucleotides in length. Their secondary structure includes four short double-helical elements and three loops (D, anti-codon, and T loops). Lineage: Bacteria; Pseudomonadati; Myxococcota; Myxococcia. The record is from RNAcentral.
AGGCGAUUUGUGUAACGGUCAGCACAGCAGGCUUACAACCUGUGGGUGGGGGUUCGAUUCCCUCAUCGCCUACGA